AAAACCCUUUUCAAUCUUAUAAACUUACAAAAAAAAUUUCAGAAAUAAUAAAGGCUCAGAGAAAAUAUGGGUUAGAGAUGGUUAUCAGCACUAAUA
RNAcentral lists this small RNA (96 nucleotides) under Arabidopsis thaliana (thale cress). RNAcentral describes it as "ATSL120160". The record is from RNAcentral. Lineage: Eukaryota; Viridiplantae; Streptophyta; Magnoliopsida; Brassicales; Brassicaceae.